RNAcentral lists this non-coding RNA (23 nucleotides) under Rattus norvegicus (Norway rat). Lineage: Eukaryota; Metazoa; Chordata; Mammalia; Rodentia; Muridae. The record is from RNAcentral.
UUUUAAGAAGGUGUCUAGGGAUG